GCAUAACGCGAAGAACCUUACCAAGGCUUGACAUGCAUCUCUAAGCGCGUGAAAGCGCGUGACCCUUCGGGGGAUUUGCACAGGUGCUGCAUGGCCGUCGUCAGCUCGUGUCGUGAGAUGUUGGGUUAAGUCCCGCAACGAGCGCAACCCUUGUGACUAGUUGCCAGCGCGUCAUGGCGGGAACUCUAGUCAGACUGCCCAGAUCAACUGGGAGGAAGGUGGGGACGACGUCAGGUCAGUAUGGCCCUUACGCCUUGGGCUGCACACGUACUACAAUGCCCAGUACAAUGAGAACCGAGACCGCGAGGUGGAGGAAAUCUGCAAAACUGGGCCCAGUUCGGAUUGGAGGCUGCAACUCGCCUCCAUGAAGUUGGAAUCGCUAGUAAUGGCGCAUCAUCUACGGCGCCGUGAAUACGUUCCCGGGUCUUGUACACACCG
Molecule: ribosomal RNA, 438 nt
Filed under: uncultured bacterium
Lineage: Bacteria
Description: bacterial SSU rRNA
Rfam family: Bacterial small subunit ribosomal RNA
Source: RNAcentral